Non-coding RNA from Vicia faba (fava bean), 216 nucleotides. The record is from the annotation of a GenBank genome assembly. Lineage: Eukaryota; Viridiplantae; Streptophyta; Magnoliopsida; Fabales; Fabaceae.
AUGCUGGAAGCCGUGUUUUGCAGCGGAAAAAGGUUUCGCGAUGGAGUCUCAGAAGAUGGCGGAGGAACGCGGUUGUUGAGGGCGGAACAGCGUGGCUUUGGGUUUGGCACGGUGAAGAUAAGAAGGCGCUGCCCUGACUGGUUGAAGGCAACCACGGACGGUGUAGUUCGUGCACCUUCAGAAUUCUCAAUAACUUUUGGAUUUUUCCUUCCAUAA